RNAcentral lists this ribosomal RNA (168 nucleotides) under Triticum aestivum (bread wheat). RNAcentral's name for it is "partial small subunit ribosomal RNA". Lineage: Eukaryota; Viridiplantae; Streptophyta; Magnoliopsida; Poales; Poaceae. The record is from RNAcentral.
AUGUGUGGAAGCACCGGAGAAUGUUCUUUUGCUGAUAUUACUACCACUAUUAGAUACUGGAUUAUUCAUACCAUUAGUAUACCUUCCCUUUUCAUUGCGGGUACGUUGUGUCGGACUGGAGCGCACCACCACCAUACUAGAGUAGCGUGUGGUGGCUAUAAAUUCUAA